UAGAUUUACCUUUCUGUGCCCCUGUGCAGUCCUGAGUUAUCUGAAACUGCAAAUACCCUCAGUGUGGAGUCCCCAGACUCCUCUUUCAGCAUAAUACUCAGUAAAAAUUGUCACCAGUGCAGCUAUUAGUGAGGCAACAGGGCCAAGACUUCAUCCAGACUUUAAGUAUCUGACAGUAUCAGCAUGGGAUCUCUGUUGAUACAGAACAAAGAAGCUAAGAGGAAAAAGACUGAUGGAAAAUGUGGUGUUUGUAUCUGCUUAAUGAAAAGUUAACUAUCCACUUCCUGUUUUAUAAUGUCUGGUGCAGGAUGACUUCAAGCAAAUAAAGAAGGGUUUUUUUGUCUAAGUCCA
RNAcentral lists this long non-coding RNA (351 nucleotides) under Struthio camelus australis. RNAcentral describes it as "lncRNA (ENSSCUG00000006826.1)". Lineage: Eukaryota; Metazoa; Chordata; Aves; Struthioniformes; Struthionidae. The record is from RNAcentral.